Molecule: long non-coding RNA, 404 nt
Filed under: Homo sapiens (human)
Lineage: Eukaryota; Metazoa; Chordata; Mammalia; Primates; Hominidae
Description: non-protein coding lnc-EDN2-4:1
Source: RNAcentral
GGGAAAUAUGUUUGUGAGGAGUGUGGAAUUCGCUGCAAGAAGCCCAGCAUGCUGAAGAAACACAUCCGCACCCACACUGACGUCCGGCCCUAUGUGUGCAAGCACUGUCACUUUGCUUUUAAAACCAAAGGAAUCUGACUAAGCACAUGAAGUCGAAGGCCCACAGCAAAAAGUGCCAAGAGACAGGGGUGCUGGAGGAGCUGGAAGCCGAAGAAGAACCAGUGACGACCUGUUCCAGGACUCGGAAGGACGAGAGGGUUCAGAGGCUGUGGAGGAGCACCAGUUUUCGGACCUGGAGGACUCGGACUCAGACUCAGACCUGGACGAAGACGAGGAUGAGGAUGAGGAGGAGAGCCAGGAUGAGCUGUCCAGACCAUCCUCAGAGGCGCCCCCGCCUGGCCCAC